AAUCAACGCUGGCGGCGUGCCUCAGACAUGCAAGUCGAACGCGAAAGUUUCCUUCGGGGAACAAGUAGAGUGGCGCACGGGUGAGUAACACGUAGGUAAUCUACCUUCGGAUGGGGAAUAACAAUCGGAAACGGUUGCUAAUACCGCAUAAUGCAGCGGCACCUAAUGGUGACAGUUGUUAAAGCGGGGGAUCGAAAGACCUCGCGUCUGAAGAGGAGCCUGCGGCGGAUUAGCAGUUGGUAAGGUAACGGCUUACCAAGGCUACGAUCCGUAGCCGGCCUGAGAGGGCGGUCGGCCACACUGACACUGACAUACGGGUCAGACUCCUAC
RNAcentral lists this ribosomal RNA (330 nucleotides) under uncultured bacterium. Its description in RNAcentral is "bacterial SSU rRNA". It matches the Rfam family "Bacterial small subunit ribosomal RNA", at positions 32 to 342 of the family's 1533-position model. The record is from RNAcentral.